GUGGGGAAUAUUGGACAAUGGGCGAAAGCCUGAUCCAGCCAUGCCGCGUGUGUGAAGAAGGUCUUCGGAUUGUAAAGCACUUUAAGUUGGGAGGAAGGGCAGUAAGUUAAUACCUUGCUGUUUUGACGUUACCGACAGAAUAAGCGCCGGCUAACUCUGUGCCAGCAGCCGCGGUAAUACAGAGGGUGCAAGCGUUAAUCGGAAUUACUGGGCGUAAAGCGCGCGUAGGUGGUUCGUUAAGUUGGAUGUGAAAGCCCCGGGCUCAACCUGGGAACUGCAUCCAAAACUGGCGAGCUAGAGUACGGUAGAGGGUGGUGGAAUUUCCUGUGUAGCGGUGAAAUGCGUAGAUAUAGGAAGGAACACCAGUGGCGAAGGCGACCACCUGGACUGAUACUGACACUGAGGUGCGAAAGCGUGGGGAGCAAACAGGAUUAGAAACCCGGGUAGUCC
RNAcentral lists this ribosomal RNA (450 nucleotides) under uncultured bacterium. RNAcentral describes it as "partial 16S ribosomal RNA". It matches the Rfam family "Bacterial small subunit ribosomal RNA", at positions 354 to 796 of the family's 1533-position model. The record is from RNAcentral.